GUAUUUGAAGCUUCUACUCCUAAGCGCUGGUCUUGUAAACCAUAGAUAGGGUUUACCCCCAAAUAUC
This 67-nucleotide transfer RNA is filed under the name Pelagomacellicephala iliffei. Its description in RNAcentral is "tRNA-Thr". The record is from RNAcentral. Lineage: Eukaryota; Metazoa; Annelida; Polychaeta; Phyllodocida; Polynoidae.